Molecule: unclassified non-coding RNA, 331 nt
Filed under: soil metagenome
Description: partial contains 5.8S ribosomal RNA, internal transcribed spacer 2, and large subunit ribosomal RNA
Rfam family: 5.8S ribosomal RNA (bases 1-120)
Source: RNAcentral
GAUGAAGAACGCAGCGAAAUGCGAUAAGUAGUGUGAAUUGCAGAAUUCAGUGAAUCAUCGAAUCUUUGAACGCACAUUGCGCCCCUUGGUAUUCCAUGGGGCAUGCCUGUUCGAGCGUCAUUUGUACCCUCAAGCUUUGCUUGGUGUUGGGCGUCUUGUCUUGUAUUAGACUCGCCUUAAAGUCAUUGGCAGCCAGUGUUUUUGGUAGUAAGCGCAGCACAUUUUGCGUCUUAGUCCUUGAAUCGUGGCAUCCAUGAAGCCUUUUUUCACUUUUGACCUCGGAUCAGGUAGGGAUACCCGCUGAACUUAAGCAUAUCAAUAAGCGGGAGGA